GCGGUUGUGGCUCAGGGGUCAGCUCCUGCUAGUGCCAGGACACUACUGGGAGGCUGGGACCCGACCAAAGCCCAUGGUGUUUCUGGCCUGAGAACAAGGUGUCUUGGGACCAUAAGGCCAGGCCACCAAUGGCCAUUGGGUCAUAGGGGCUCAGCCCCAAUCUUUGUCUUUCCCUGGCUCCUUCUGAUUCAGUCCCAUCAGGGCCCUGGAUCCCAAGACUCAGCAUCCAAGGUCCCCUCCAGGAAUCCUGGCAGCUCAGCAUACUUUAUCCUGUUUCAUCUGAGAGCAAAAAUGUAAAAUUGGAUGCACAGAAAAGUGACUCAAAGUGCUUAAUGACUAGAAGAAAUCUAGGAGCAGCAAGAAGGUAAUGUGGAGGGAGGGACCUCCAUGACCGGUGUCUGCAGAGCCAGGGGUACAGGCACCCAGUGCUGUGGCCUGGCACCACCUGCCUCUCAGAGGGUGGGUGGCACACUCCUUAACCAGAGGACAGCAGGCCUGGUCACCAGCUUUUCUACCUGUCCCUGUAAGCAUCACAUUGCUGGAGGAAAAUCUCAUGCCAGAGCUUGGACCAUCCCUAGCUCGGGUUAGGGGUUGUCCCUUGGUGACCUAAAUGAAAAAACAGGUCCAGAACAGAGUUCCUGAUGCUGGACACUCAUUCAGUCUUUGAAUCGUGGGAGGGGAGGCCUGGUACUAGGUAGACCUAACCUCUUUGAGGAACCACAGAGCCCAAGGCUGGAAACCUCCAGAAUCCUCCACCCCCUGAUCCUCCCUGGGGACCCCUGUGGCCUGUCUCACUGAGCACUCUUCCAUCUGUAGAUGUCUGGGCUGCUGUACAAGGGAGUCCCCUUUCAGGUGUGGUGCUAGACAUGGUCACUCCUGCUGGAUGUCUAGGUGGUAGAAACCAAGGACCUAGGGAAAUACCAGCUACAGCCUUUCCCCGCUCAUCCAGAGCAGGACAAACAGGCCAGGCGGUGUCAGGAGCCCAGGUCUCCAGCUGGAGGGAACGUCAACCCUGCGGUGGGAGUAGGGGCCCUUUGCACAUCCUAGGCACAGAUGGUAAUGUAGACACCACAGGUAAGCUGGGCUUGGUACCUACCCCUCCCCGGAUUCAGAAAGAAACCAAACAAGGAGCUUUGUGCGGAAUGAAACCUCCUUUCCUCCCAGAAGCACUGCUGACUGUUUGGUGGUUGCCAUUUGUGGCAGUGAGCCUUUGUUUGUUCUGAGGUUGGGCUGGUUUCUCCUCUUGGUCCUGCCCUACAGAUCAUAAAGGAGAACAGCAAGAGGUCCCCAGCAAACAUCCACAGAUGGCCUUGGAACCUCACCCUGCAGGAAUGCCAGUGAACAUACUGCUGACAUCUUGGAGCUCAGUACCCUCAUAGUGUAACGGCGUCAGUAGAUCUGCCUGUGCUUGGACUUCCUGUACUACCCAUUCCUGAGGGGCGAUGCUUCUGCAGGGCCUGUGACUUGGUGCACAACUUCAGACACCAUCAUCUUGCAGCAGCACCGCACCCUCACUAGCCAGGGUGUUGAUGACUUCCUCAAGGCCAAGGCCACAUUCAAGGCUUCGGACUUUAUUGAUGCGCUUGUGCUGAGCAAGGUGGCUUCUCCAGGAUCUUAAUUCAGGAGGUAGAAUGGAGCUUGAGAUCAAGUGUCUGAUCAAGCCUCAGUGUAUGGGCGCUGUUCAUCCUCUGGUGCUGAAGCAGCCAAGAGACCCAAGUCUGCCUGGCUGCCUCUUAGGAUAUGACAGCAGAGCCAGUGGCCUCUACUAGAUCCUGUACAACCUCACAAAACACCCAGACAUCGGGAGUGCUGCCAGCCUGUGAUGCAAGAGUCCUAAUCCUGAAGACAUUGAAUGACCUGUCAUUCUGCUGUUUUUACCAAAAAGGAUCAUGAGGAUCAGAGAGGAAAAGUCACUUGCCCAAAGUCACACAGCUGAACAGUGGUGGAGUUCAACUUUGACCAUGGGCUGUCUGGCCCCAAGGUGUAUGCUUGCUUCUCUCCCAAGAGACUCCUUUCUUAUCAGGCUCAAAUGAAUGAAAGGAGGAUGUUAAAGUUCCUAGAAGCUUUAAUUGAAUGAAAGUUCCUAGUAGAUCUGUACCUACUAAAAACCACACUUCUGAAGCUACGUGGCCACCAGAAGACACAGCUAGUCUGCCAUGUAAAAAAGGAAAGGUGGCGUGUGCCCUGAAGGCGCAGGGGUGAGAGGCAGGGAAAUGGAGACCCCAACAGCCAGCAUCAGUGGCCCUCAUCACAGCCCUCCAGGAGAUAUCAAAGGAGACAACGCCAUUAUUGACGAGAUCACUCCCAAGCGGAUUGGAGAUUGUCCCAAUACUUAGACCUAUAGCAAGGCCUUGGGAGAAAUGGUGGUGCAGCAGGAGAGCAGGAACCUAACCAUUGCCAUCCUAAGGCCCUCCAUUGUGCGGAGCAACGUCGCACCAGCUUUUCCUGGGUUGGGUUGAUAAUCUAAAUGGAUGUAGCUGACUCAUUAUUGCGGCUGGGAAAGGGUUUCUUCUGUCCAUAAAAGCUACUCCAAUGGCUGUGGGAGACUUAAUUCCAAUUCCAGGUGAUACAGCCGUCAAUCUCCCACUAGCUGUAGGAUGGUGUGUGUGCUGCAGUUCACAGGGCAAAGGAGAUAGAAGUGGAUGAAAUGAGAGAAUUUUCUUUAAUUGAACUCUGGUUAAUGCCAAAAGUGUUCAAUCACUAUGUGUGGGGAAGUUUCCUGGUACAAAGGAAAAAAAAACAACCUAAGUCAGUGUUAGUCUACCACUGUACAUCUGGUAACCUCAAUCCCUGCAACCGGGGCAAAAUGGGUUUCCAGGUCUUGGCAACCUUUGAAAUUCCAAUUCCAUUUGAGAGAGCUUUGACGAGGCCAUAUGCUGAUUUCACCACCAGCAACUUCAGAACCCAGUACUGGAAUGCCAUCAGCCAGCAGGCCCCUGCCAUCAUCUAUGACUUCUAUCUGUGGCUCACUGGAAGGAAACCCAGCUACCGAAGGAAGAUACCCUCAUCAACCCAAUUUUACAAAUGGAGAAAUAGAAGUUAAGGGAAGAAUCUGAAGUAGUCUCAAAGGCAGUGACAGGAAGGAUGUGGAGAAAGCUGAGUGUCAAAGUCAGUAUUCAGGACCGGCUUUACUGCUACUUAGAGAUGAAUGAAGAAAUCAGAGGGAACGCAGUGUGCUGAUGCUAAAGCAGCUGUCACCACCCAGCUGUGUGACAUAGGACAUAUUCUUUCUCUGUCUCACUUGACUAAUAUGAUAUGUCAGAGGAGACAUGAUUGUAAUUGCCUAAAGCAAUUCUUGUGAUCAAGACUCAGAAGCACGAACAGUAUUGCCCUCUGUGUUAGCCCCUUUAUAAGGGAGGAUAUCAUCUUCAGCAUGCUGAAUUGUCAUCUUUCUUAGCAGUGCAAAUGACUAAAACUUAGCCAAUGUAGAGUUUGUCCAAAUUUGGAGCUCAUAACUCAGUUCUUGAGCAAAGUGAAAAGAAAACAUUGUGAUUAUGGGGAAAAUAUUUGACGGGACUUAUCAAAUAAAGAUAGGAAAAGAAGAAAACCCAAAUAUUAUAGGCAGAAAUGCUAAAGGUUUUAAAAUAUGUCAGGAUUGGAAGAAGGCAUGGAUAAAGAACAAAGUUCAGUUAGGAAAGAGAAACACAGAAGGAAGAGACACAAUAAAAGUCAUUAUGUAUUCUGUGAGAAGUCAGUAAGAUUUGUUGGAAGUGGGUUGGUUUGUUGUAUGGUAUGUAUUUUAGCAAUAAUCUUUAUGGCAGAGAAAGCUAAAAUCCUUUAGCUUGCGUGAAUGAUCACUUGCUGAAUUCUUCGAGGUAGGCAUGAUGAAGGAGGGUUUAGAGGAGACACAGACACAAUGAACUGACCUAGAUAGAAAGCCUUAGUAUACUCAGCUAGGAAUAGUGAUUCUGAGGACACACUGUGACAUGAUUAUGCCAUUACAUGUAUGGUAGUGAUGGGGAUGAUAGAAGGAAGAACUUAUGGCAUAUUUUCACCCCCCCAAAAAUCAGUUAAAUAUUGGGACACUAACCAUCCAGGUCUAGAAAAGUCACAUGCCAUAGCCAUGGUAUUGCACAUCAUUCAUCUUGCAUUCUUUGAGAAUAAGAAGAUCAGUAAAUAGUUCAGAAGUGGGAAGCUUUGUCCAGGCCUGUGUGUGAACCCAAUAUUUUGUUUAGAAAUAGAACAAGUAAGUUCAUUGCUAUAGCAUAACACAAAAUUUGCAUAAGUGGUGGUCAGCAAAUCCUUGAAUGCUGCUUAAUGUGAGAGGUUGGUAAAAUCCUUUGUGCAACACUCUAACUCCCUGAAUGUUUUGCUGUGCUGGGACCUGUGCAUGCCAGGCAAGGCCAAGAUGGCUCAAAGAGCAACCAGCCACCUCUGCAGCCUGCCACCUCCUGCUGGCAAGAUUUGUUUUUGCAUCCUGUGAAGAGCCAAGGAGGCACCAGGGCAUAAGUCUACUCACUUAUAUCUGUCUGGAACAUAACGCUUGUUUGUUUUUACAACAAAUAAAAUUGAUCUUGAAUAAAA
This 4524-nucleotide long non-coding RNA is filed under the name Homo sapiens (human). RNAcentral's name for it is "non-protein coding lnc-POTEF-6:4". Lineage: Eukaryota; Metazoa; Chordata; Mammalia; Primates; Hominidae. The record is from RNAcentral.